RNAcentral lists this ribosomal RNA (955 nucleotides) under uncultured Bacillus sp. RNAcentral's name for it is "bacterial SSU rRNA". It matches the Rfam family "Bacterial small subunit ribosomal RNA", at positions 8 to 957 of the family's 1533-position model. Lineage: Bacteria; Bacillati; Bacillota; Bacilli; Caryophanales; Bacillaceae. The record is from RNAcentral.
AGAGUUUGAUCAUGGCUCAGGACGAACGCUGGCGGCGUGCCUAAUACAUGCAAGUCGAGCGGACUUAAAAAGCUUGCUUUUUAAGUUAGCGGCGGACGGGUGAGUAACACGUGGGCAACCUGCCUGUAAGACUGGGAUAACUUCGGGAAACCGGAGCUAAUACCGGAUAAUCCCUUUCUACUCAUGUAGAAAAGCUGAAAGACGGUUUACGCUGUCACUUACAGAUGGGCCCGCGGCGCAUUAGCUAGUUGGUGAGGUAACGGCUCACCAAGGCGACGAUGCGUAGCCGACCUGAGAGGGUGAUCGGCCACACUGGGACUGAGACACGGCCCAGACUCCUACGGGAGGCAGCAGUAGGGAAUCUUCCGCAAUGGACGAAAGUCUGACGGAGCAACGCCGCGUGAGUGAUGAAGGUUUUCGGAUCGUAAAACUCUGUUGUUAGGGAAGAACAAGUACGAGAGUAACUGCUCGUACCUUGACGGUACCUAACCAGAAAGCCACGGCUAACUACGUGCCAGCAGCCGCGGUAAUACGUAGGUGGCAAGCGUUGUCCGGAAUUAUUGGGCGUAAAGCGCGCGCAGGCGGUCCUUUAAGUCUGAUGUGAAAGCCCACGGCUCAACCGUGGAGGGUCAUUGGAAACUGGGGGACUUGAGUGCAGAAGAGAAGAGUGGAAUUCCACGUGUAGCGGUGAAAUGCGUAGAGAUGUGGAGGAACACCAGUGGCGAACGCGACUCUUUGGUCUGUAACUGACGCUGAGCGCGAAAGCGUGGGGAGCAAACAGGAUUAGAUACCCUGGUAGUCCACGCCGUAAACGAUGAGUGCUAAGUGUUAGAGGGUUUCCGCCCUUUAGUGCUGUAGCAAACGCAUUAAGCACUCGCCUGGGAUACGCCGCAAGCUGAAACUCAAGGAAUUGACGGGGCCCGCACAGCGGUGGAGCAUGUGGUUUAUUCGAAGC